Molecule: unclassified non-coding RNA, 560 nt
Filed under: Lactococcus garvieae subsp. garvieae
Lineage: Bacteria; Bacillati; Bacillota; Bacilli; Lactobacillales; Streptococcaceae
Description: partial contains 16S ribosomal RNA, 16S-23S ribosomal RNA intergenic spacer, and 23S ribosomal RNA
Rfam family: Bacterial small subunit ribosomal RNA (bases 1-156)
Source: RNAcentral
GCCUUGUACACACCGCCCGUCACACCACGGAAGUUGGGAGUACCCAAAGUAGGUUGCCUAACCGCAAGGAGGGCGCUUCCUAAGGUAAGACCGAUGACUGGGGUGAAGUCGUAACAAGGUAGCCGUAUCGGAAGGUGCGGCUGGAUCACCUCCUUUCUAAGGAAUAUAAAAAAAGAUGUUGUUCUACUUUAUUCAGUUUUGAGGGGUCUAUAAAGACCAAACAAGCAGUCUUUUGAUGCAAGAUAGAGAAGAUUGCGUUGAGAGAAGGGGCCUUAGCUCAGCUGGGAGAGCGCCUGCUUUGCACGCAGGAGGUCAGCGGUUCGAUCCCGCUAGGCUCCAUAAGAUACGGAAGUAUCUUGUCAACGAAGACGUUAAAAUAGGAAUUGAUCAUUGAAAACUAAAUAACAAUAUCUUAUAACGAUAAAUAAACCGAGAAAUGGUAAAACAUUUCUGUAAAGCUGCGAAUUAUUUUAAAUAGUUCGAAAAAACUUAUACUUGUUUUAAUGGCAAAGUUAAUAAGGGCGCACGGUGGAUGCCUUGGCAUUAAGAGCCGAAGAAGG